AGUGAACGCUGGCGGUAGGCCUAACACAUGCAAGUCGAACGGCAGCACAGUAAGAGCUUGCUCUUACGGGUGGCGAGUGGCGGACGGGUGAGGAAUACAUUGGAAUCUACUUUUUCGUGGGGGAUAACGUAGGGAAACUUACGCUAAUACCGCAUACGACCUACGGGUGAAAGCAGGGGAUCUUCGGACCUUGCGCGAUUGAAUGAGCCGAUGUCGGAUUAGCUAGUUGGCGGGGUAAAGGCCCACCAAGGCGACGAUCCGUAGCUGGUCUGAGAGGAUGAUCAGCCACACUGGAACUGAGACACGGUCCAGACUCCUACGGGAGGCAGCAGUGGGGAAUAUUGGACAAUGGGCGCAAGCCUGAUCCAGCCAUACCGCGUGGGUGAAGAGGGCCUUCGGGUUGUAAAGCCCUUUUGUUGGGAAAGAAAAGCAGCAGGUUAAUACCCCGCUGUUCUGACGGUACCCAAAGAAUAAGCACCGGCUAACUUCGUG
RNAcentral lists this ribosomal RNA (492 nucleotides) under uncultured bacterium. RNAcentral's name for it is "partial 16S ribosomal RNA". It matches the Rfam family "Bacterial small subunit ribosomal RNA", at positions 29 to 507 of the family's 1533-position model. The record is from RNAcentral.